UUUUUUAAAGUGAUAUGGCUGUGGCAAUAUUUAAAAAAUAAAAAAACAAUACUUUUCUGUUAUUUGACAUAGUACACUGCACGAGACAGAGCAGGCGCGCAAGUGUUUCGUCACUAGUCGCCUUAAAUCCCUCCCUUUUCGCCCGUAUCAUCCUAACCUAUGAUCCUAACAAUCGUGCCCCCUGCCCACUCCUGAUUGGCUAUGACUUCACAUUUCCGCCAUAUUCAAAAUCCGUCCUAUCUGUUGACUAUAGCGAACUUCCCCCUUUCAAUUCACCCCCCCAAAUAACUCAUUUUAAUUGUAUUACGUUUUGUACACACAGUUUACAGUAGCGCAUUCCAGGUCCACAUUUUCAAAUGGAGGAAACCGACGGAUCUCCAGUGCCGGUGAACGAAAGACCGAGGAGGAGCAAGAGAAAGUCGUCGGUGGCGGAUAUCGACGCGUCCCCAGAACGCAAUUUCAAAAGGCCGUCUUUGAGACGAGGAAGUUCUUUUAUCUUCCUGACACCUGGACCUCAGUGGGACUUCACGCUGAAACGCAAGCGCAGAGAGAAGGACGAUA
Sinocyclocheilus grahami is the source of this 561-nucleotide long non-coding RNA. RefSeq lists it as uncharacterized. Lineage: Eukaryota; Metazoa; Chordata; Actinopteri; Cypriniformes; Cyprinidae. The record is from RefSeq and is a predicted model, not a curated record. The transcript is spliced from 3 exons.